This 459-nucleotide ribosomal RNA is filed under the name uncultured bacterium. RNAcentral describes it as "bacterial SSU rRNA". It matches the Rfam family "Bacterial small subunit ribosomal RNA", at positions 340 to 787 of the family's 1533-position model. The record is from RNAcentral.
UACGGAAGGCAGCAGUGGGGAAUAUUGCACAAUGGGCGCAAGCCUGAUGCAGCCAUGCCGCGUGUAUGAAGAAGGCCUUCGGGUUGUAAAGUACUUUCAGCGGGGAGGAAGGGAGUAAAGUUAAUACCUUUGCUCAUUGACGUUACCCGCAGAAGAAGCACCGGCUAACUCCGUGCCAGCAGCCGCGGUAAUACGGAGGGUGCAAGCGUUAAUCGGAAUUACUGGGCGUAAAGCGCACGCAGGCGGUUUUGUUAAGUCAGAUGUGAAAUCCCCGGGCUCAACCUGGGAACUGCAUCUGAUACUGGCAAGCUUGAGUCUCGUAGAGGGGGUAGAAUUCCAGGUGUAGCGGUGAAAUGCGUAGAGAUCUGGAGGAAUACCGGUGGCGAAGGCGGGCCCCUGGGACGAAGACUGACGCUCAGGGUGCGAAAGCGUGGGGAGCAAACAGGGAUUAGGAUAACC